This 580-nucleotide ribosomal RNA is filed under the name Chaetomium sp. NRRL 66025. RNAcentral's name for it is "eukaryotic LSU rRNA". It matches the Rfam family "Eukaryotic large subunit ribosomal RNA", at positions 1 to 592 of the family's 3401-position model. Lineage: Eukaryota; Fungi; Ascomycota; Sordariomycetes; Sordariales; Chaetomiaceae. The record is from RNAcentral.
UUGACCUCGGAUCAGGUAGGAAGACCCGCUGAACUUAAGCAUAUCAAUAAGCGGAGGAAAAGAAACCAACAGGGAUUGCCCUAGUAACGGCGAGUGAAGCGGCAACAGCUCAAAUUUGAAAUCUGGCUUCGGCCCGAGUUGUAAUUUGCAGAGGAAGCUUUAGGCGCGGCACCUCCUGAGUCCCCUGGAACGGGGCGCCACAGAGGGUGAGAGCCCCGUAUAGUUGGAUGCCUAGCCUGUGUAAAGCUCCUUCGACGAGUCGAGUAGUUUGGGAAUGCUGCUCAAAAUGGGAGGUAAAUUUCUUCUAAAGCUAAAUACCGGCCAGAGACCGAUAGCGCACAAGUAGAGUGAUCGAAAGAUGAAAAGCACUUUGAAAAGAGGGUUAAAUAGCACGUGAAAUUGUUGAAAGGGAAGCGCUUGUGACCAGACUUGCGCCGGGCUGAUCAUCCGGUGUUCUCACCGGUGCACUCUGCCCGGCUCAGGCCAGCAUCGGUUCUCGCGGGGGGAUAAAGGCCCUGGGAACGUAGCUCCUCCGGGAGUGUUAUAGCCCGGGGCGCAAUGCCCUCGCGGGGACCGAGGU